UUUUCCGCUGUAGUUUAAGUGAAUGAGGGUUUUGUAAGCCUUUGGUAUGGGGUGG
Molecule: transfer RNA, 55 nt
Filed under: Pomphorhynchus laevis
Lineage: Eukaryota; Metazoa; Acanthocephala; Palaeacanthocephala; Echinorhynchida; Pomphorhynchidae
Also listed under: 1 other name
Description: tRNA-Thr
Source: RNAcentral